This is a long non-coding RNA of Equus caballus (horse), 1104 nucleotides long. RefSeq lists it as uncharacterized. Lineage: Eukaryota; Metazoa; Chordata; Mammalia; Perissodactyla; Equidae. The record is from RefSeq and is a predicted model, not a curated record.
GCUAGGAGAAAGGUCCUCUUGGCUAAGCCCAGGUCUUGUGACUGGCUCCUGGCUGUUCCAGGCACUAAAAGGAAGGAUCUGGCUGACAAGACCCUUCAGCAUUUGUUACUGAAGGUUUCCACCUGCAUUUUCUUUCCACCCAAACUACCCACGGCGGAGGACAAGCAAUGCGCCCAAAUGGAAUCACGGUGCUGUCAGGAGGGACUGUGAGCGCUUGGAGACCACAGAGUGCCAAAGGUUUAUUCUAACUUUUCUUCAUUUGAUAGUGGUUCACUAAUUAGCACUCUCUGGCAAUGGCCAUUCAGCCAGAAAGAGAUCUACUCAAUUGUCCAGGAACAUAGAUCCAUCUGCCCCACCAAGAUGUGUUAACAAACUGACAAAUAGCCUUGCUGAAAUGCAGGAUUGGUGGUGCAAACUAGGGAAAAGAAAUCUGGAGGAUGAGUUGAGUUGCUCUGAAAAAGAUCAGAAAGGGAAAUGGAAGACCUCCUGCCAUCUGAAGAAAUCUGAGAGGGAGAGGCACUGACUCCCCAGCCAUGUGAUGGAGCCACCUUGGAAAUGGAUCCUGCAGCCCAGUCAAGCCUUUGGACGAAUGCAGCUCCAACUGACAUCUUGACCAUAACCUUAUGAGAGAUCCUGAGCCAGACCCACCAGAUAAGCCACUCUCAAAUUCCUAAACUACAGGAAACAUAAGUAUAAUAAAUAUUUAUUGUUGCUUUAAGCCAUUAAGUUUUGGAGUAAUUUGUUACACAGUAGUAGCUAACUAAUGGAGUCCUAGUGGUAUUGACCUGCAGCCCCCCAUAGCUGUACACUUCUCAUCAACCCCUUCCCUGUGCUGCCUUAGAUCACCUCCAAAGAAAACCACCUGCGUUCAAAAUCUUAUCUCAGGGUUUGCUUUUGGAAUCGAAGAAAUCCCAGAGAAGGUAAAUAUUAUUAUUAUCCUCAUUUUAGGGAUGAGAAAAAACACACGUAGGUUAGAGUUACACAGCAAAUAGUGGCAGAACAGAGGUUUUCUGAGUCCUCAUCCACUGCUUCCUGUUUCAUCACAGCGGCUUCUCCCUCCCACCCCAAUCCUUUCCAAUUUCAAGCAAUCUCUCUUCUCUCCCC